Non-coding RNA from Caenorhabditis elegans, 86 nucleotides. Lineage: Eukaryota; Metazoa; Nematoda; Chromadorea; Rhabditida; Rhabditidae. The record is from Ensembl.
GGGGGCCCGGCGCAGAAAAAAAAGAGCAUGGCAGCAAUGGAACAAAACUGAGAAAAGUACUCUAGGGGCUUUUCUUUGGAAUUUUU